RNAcentral lists this ribosomal RNA (241 nucleotides) under uncultured bacterium. RNAcentral's name for it is "partial 16S ribosomal RNA". It matches the Rfam family "Bacterial small subunit ribosomal RNA", at positions 529 to 770 of the family's 1533-position model. The record is from RNAcentral.
AGGGGGCAAGCGUUGUCCGGAAUUAUUGGGCGUAAAGGGCGCGCAGGCGGCCGCUUAAGUUUGGUGUUUAAGCCCAGGGCUCAACCCUGGUACGCACUGAAAACUGGGUGGCUUGAGUACAGAAGAGGAGAGUGGAAUUCCACGUGUAGCGGUGAAAUGCGUAGAGAUGUGGAGGAACACCAGUGGCGAAGGCGACUCUCUGGUCUGUUACUGACGCUGAGGCGCGAAAGCGUGGGGAGCG